RNAcentral lists this ribosomal RNA (301 nucleotides) under uncultured bacterium. Its description in RNAcentral is "partial 16S ribosomal RNA". It matches the Rfam family "Bacterial small subunit ribosomal RNA", at positions 509 to 809 of the family's 1533-position model. The record is from RNAcentral.
CAGUAGCCGCGGUAAUACAGAGGGUGCGAGCGUUAAUCGGAUUUACUGGGCGUAAAGCGUGCGUAGGCGGCUUUUUAAGUCGGAUGUGAAAUCCCUGAGCUUAACUUAGGAAUUGCAUUCGAUACUGGGAAGCUAGAGUAUGGGAGAGGAUGGUAGAAUUCCAGGUGUAGCGGUGAAAUGCGUAGAGAUCUGGAGGAAUACCGAUGGCGAAGGCAGCCACCUGGCCUAAUACUGACGCUGAGGUACGAAAGCAUGGGGAGCAAACAGGAUUAGAUACCCGCGUAGUCCCUGUCUCUUAUAA